CCCCUAGACGUUCUGGGCCGCACGCGCGCUACACUGACCAGUGCAACAAGCAUCCGUCCUUGGCCGACAGGCCCGGGCAAUCUUUGAACGCUGGUCGUGAUGGGGAUAGACUUUUGCAAUUUUUGGUCUUCAACGAGGAAUUCCUAGUAAACGCAAGUCAUCAACUUGCAUUGAUUACGUCCCUGCCCUUUGUACACACCGCCCGUCGCACCUACCGAUUGAAUGGUCCGGUGAAGCCUCCGGAUUGGCGCGCACCUCGGUGCCGCCGAGAAGUUGGCUAAACCUUACCAUUUAGAGGAAGGUGAANUCGUAACA
Molecule: ribosomal RNA, 315 nt
Filed under: uncultured eukaryote
Lineage: Eukaryota
Description: partial 18S ribosomal RNA
Rfam family: Eukaryotic small subunit ribosomal RNA
Source: RNAcentral